GGGCGCAWKYNCUGAUGCAGCCMUGCCGCGUGUAUGAAGAAGGCCUUCGGGUUGUAAAGUACUUUCAGCGGGGAGGAAGGGAGUAAAGUUAAUACCUUUGCUCAUUGACGUUACCCGCAGAAGAAGCACCGGCUAACUCCGUGCCAGCAGCCGCGGUAAUACGGAGGGUGCAAGCGUUAAUCGGAAUUACUGGGCGUAAAGCGCACGCAGGCGGUUUKUUWAGUCAGAUGUGAAAUCCCCGGGCUCAACCUGGGAACUGCAUCUGAUACUGGCAAGCUUGAGUCUCGUAGAGGGGGGUAGAAUUCCAGGUGUAGCGGUGAAAUGCGUAGAGAUCUGGAGGAAUACC
Molecule: ribosomal RNA, 346 nt
Filed under: uncultured bacterium
Lineage: Bacteria
Description: partial 16S ribosomal RNA
Rfam family: Bacterial small subunit ribosomal RNA
Source: RNAcentral